Molecule: ribosomal RNA, 277 nt
Filed under: uncultured bacterium
Lineage: Bacteria
Description: partial 16S ribosomal RNA
Rfam family: Bacterial small subunit ribosomal RNA
Source: RNAcentral
UGGGGAAUAUUGCACAAUGGGCGCAAGCCUGAUGCAGCCAUGCCGCGUGUGUGAAGAAGGCCUUCGGGUUGUAAAGCACUUUCAGCGAGGAGGAAGGGUUCAGUGUUAAUAGCACUGUUCAUUGACGUUACUCGCAGAAGAAGCACCGGCUAACUCCGUGCCAGCAGCCGCGGUAAUACGGAGGGUGCAAGCGUUAAUCGGAAUUACUGGGCGUAAAGCGCACGCAGGCGGUUUGUUAAGUCAGAUGUGAAAUCCCCGCGCUUAACGUGGGAACUGC